UUGAACGCUGGCGGCAUGCUUUACACAUGCAAGUCGAACGGUAGCAGGCCUUCGGGUGCUGACGCGUGGCGAACGGGUGAGUAAUGCAUCGGAACGUGCCCAAUCGUGGGGGAUAACGUAGCGAAAGUUACGCUAAUACCGCAUACGCCCUGAGGGGGAAAGUGGGGGACCGCAAGGCCUCACGCGAAUGGAGCGGCCGAUGUCAGAUUAGCUAGUUGGUGGGGUAAAGGCCCACCAAGGCGACGAUCUGUAGCGGGUCUGAGAGGAGGACCCGCCACACUGGGACUGAGACACGGCCCAGACUCCUACGGGAGGCAGCAGUGGGGAAUUUUGGACAAUGGGGGCAACCCUGAUCCAGCCAUGCCGCGUGAGUGAAGAAGGCCUUCGGGUUGUAAAGCUCUUUCAGACGGAAAGAAAACGCAGCGGUGAAUACCCGGUGUGGAUGACGGUACCGUAAGAAGAAGCACCGGCUAACUACGU
Molecule: ribosomal RNA, 480 nt
Filed under: uncultured bacterium
Lineage: Bacteria
Description: bacterial SSU rRNA
Rfam family: Bacterial small subunit ribosomal RNA
Source: RNAcentral